RNAcentral lists this ribosomal RNA (497 nucleotides) under uncultured bacterium. RNAcentral's name for it is "partial 16S ribosomal RNA". It matches the Rfam family "Bacterial small subunit ribosomal RNA", at positions 28 to 507 of the family's 1533-position model. The record is from RNAcentral.
GAUGAACGCUGGCGGCGUGCCUAAUACAUGCAAGUCGAGCGAACGGACGAGAAGCUUGCUUCUCUGAUGUUAGCGGCGGACGGGUUAGUAACACGUGGAUAACCUACCUAUACGACUGGGAUAACUUCGGGAAACCGGAGCUAAUACCGGAUAAUAUUUUGAACCGCAUGGUUCAAAAGUGAAAGACGGUCUUGCUGUCACUUAUAGAUGGAUCCGCGCUGCAUUAGCUAGUUGGUAAGGUAACGGCUUACCAAGGCAACGAUGCAUAGCCGACCUGAGAGGGUGAUCGGCCACACUGGAACUGAGACACGGUCCAGACUCCUACGGGAGGCAGCAGUAGGGAAUCUUCCGCAAUGGGCGAAAGCCUGACGGAGCAACGCCGCGUGAGUGAUGAAGGUCUUCGGAUCGUAAAACUCUGUUAUUAGGGAAGAACAUAUGUGUAAGUAACUGUGCACAUCUUGACGGUACCUAAUCAGAAAGCCACGGCUAACUACGUG